ACGAACGCUGGCGGCGUGCCUCAUCCCUGCCAGUCGAACGAACCGCGACUAAGUGCUUGCACUAAGUCAAGGUGAGUGGCGAACGGGUGAGUAACACGUUGGUAACCUACCUCAUAGUGGGGGAUAACAGUCGGAAACGACUGCUAAUACCGCAUAUGACAUAGGAUCACAUGAUCCAGUGAGGAAAGGUGGCGCAAGCUAUCGCUAAGAGAUGGACCCGCGUUGCAUUAGCUAGUUGGUAGGGUAAAGGCCUACCAAGGCGAUGAUGCAUAGCCGACCUGAGAGGGUGAUCGGCCACAUUGGGACUGAGACACGGCCCAAACUCCUACGGGAGGCAGCAGUAGGGAAUCUUCCGCAAUGGACGCAAGUCUGACGGAGCAACGCCGCGUGAGUGAAGAAGGUCUUCGGAUCGUAAAGCUCUGUUGUUAGAGAAGAACAGCGAAUAGAGUAACUGCUAUGCGUGUGACGGUAUCUAACCAGAAAGCCACGGCUAACUACGUG
RNAcentral lists this ribosomal RNA (501 nucleotides) under uncultured bacterium. RNAcentral's name for it is "partial 16S ribosomal RNA". It matches the Rfam family "Bacterial small subunit ribosomal RNA", at positions 29 to 507 of the family's 1533-position model. The record is from RNAcentral.